Molecule: transfer RNA, 74 nt
Filed under: Urbifossiella limnaea
Lineage: Bacteria; Pseudomonadati; Planctomycetota; Planctomycetia; Gemmatales; Gemmataceae
Description: Planctomycetes bacterium ETA_A1 tRNA-Trp
Rfam family: tRNA
About the family: Transfer RNA (tRNA) molecules are approximately 80 nucleotides in length. Their secondary structure includes four short double-helical elements and three loops (D, anti-codon, and T loops). Further hydrogen bonds mediate the characteristic L-shaped molecular structure. tRNAs have two regions of fundamental functional importance: the anti-codon, which is responsible for specific mRNA codon recognition, and the 3' end, to which the tRNAs corresponding amino acid is attached (by aminoacyl-tRNA synthetases). tRNAs cope with the degeneracy of the genetic code in two manners: having more than one tRNA (with a specific anti-codon) for a particular amino acid; and 'wobble' base-pairing, i.e. permitting non-standard base-pairing at the 3rd anti-codon position.
Source: RNAcentral
AGGAGCGUAGCUCAGUUGGUAGAGCAGUGGUUUCCAAAACCACCGGUCGGGGGUUCGAGUCCCUCCGCUCCUGC